This 402-nucleotide ribosomal RNA is filed under the name bacterium. RNAcentral describes it as "partial 16S ribosomal RNA". It matches the Rfam family "Bacterial small subunit ribosomal RNA", at positions 355 to 776 of the family's 1533-position model. The record is from RNAcentral.
UGGGGAAUUUUGCACAAUGGGGGAAACCCUGAUGCAGCGACGCCGCGUGAUUUAGAAGGCCUUCGGGUUGUAAAAAUCUUUUCUAUGGGAAGAAAAUGACAGUACCAUAGGAAUAAGGACCGGCUAAUUACGUGCCAGCAGCCGCGGUAAUACGUAAGGUCCGAGCGUUGUCCGGAAUCAUUGGGCGUAAAGGGUACGUAGGCGGGUAAGCAAGUUAGAAGUGAAAUCCUAUAGCUCAACUAUAGUAAGCUUUUAAAACUGCUCAUCUUGAGGUAUGGAAGGGAAAGUGGAAUUCCUAGUGUAGCGGUGAAAUGCGCAGCUAUUAGGAGGAAUACCGGUGGCGAAGGCGACUUUCUGGCCAUAACCUGACGCUGAGGUACGAAAGCGUGGGUAGCAAACAGG